Molecule: long non-coding RNA, 258 nt
Organism: Papaver somniferum (opium poppy)
Lineage: Eukaryota; Viridiplantae; Streptophyta; Magnoliopsida; Ranunculales; Papaveraceae
Exons: 3
Source: RefSeq, a predicted model, not a curated record
AUUGGUUGAAGACGCCGAUUGAUCUUGAUAUUUCUUCCUUGGGACCAGAAGAGGAAGUUAGUUCAGAAUUUUUGGACUCUCUCUCUAAAUCCAUGUUCGUAAACAUAACAGAUGAUGAUGUUGAGGACUAAGGAGUACCAAGUCAGCAACCCUGGAAAGUCUGAAGCUAUCAGUUGAUUUUGUGGAUGCAUAGCUGGAAAGUGUCGAUGUUGUUUAGAUGUUAUGGAGACUGUGGAUGUUUAGGUAGUUAGGUGGCAC